UUGAACGCUGGCGGAAUGCUUUACACAUGCAAGUCGAACGGCAGCACGGGGGCAGCCCGGGUGGCGUGUGGCGAACGGGUGAGUAAUACAUCGGAACGUGCCCGGUCGUGGGGGAUAACGUAGCGAAAGUCACGCUAAUACCGCAUACGAUCCGAGGUUGAAAGCGGGGGACCUUCGGGCCUCGCGCGAUCGGAGCGGGCGGUUUCAGAGUAGGUAGUUGGUGGGGUAAAGGCCUACCAAGCGGACGGACUGUAGCGGGUCUGAGAGGACGCCCAGCCACACUGGGACUGAGCCACGGCCCAGACUCCUACGGGAGGCAGCGGUGGGGAAUUUUGGCCAAUGGGCGCAAGCCUGAUCCAGCCCUUCCGCGUGCAGGACGAAGGCCUUCGGGUUGUAACCUGCUUUUGUACGGAACGAAAAGGCUCUGGCUAAUACCUGGGGCUCAUGACGGUACCGUAAGAAUAAGCACCGGCUAACUACGUG
RNAcentral lists this ribosomal RNA (483 nucleotides) under uncultured bacterium. RNAcentral's name for it is "partial 16S ribosomal RNA". It matches the Rfam family "Bacterial small subunit ribosomal RNA", at positions 29 to 507 of the family's 1533-position model. The record is from RNAcentral.